AGAUUGAACGCUGGCGGCAUGCCUUACACAUGCAAGUCGAACGGUAGAGUAGCAAUACUUGAGAGUGGCGAACGGGUGAGUAAUAUAUCGGAACGUGCCCAGUCGUGGGGGAUAACGUAGAGAAAUUUACGCUAAUACCGCAUACGAUCUAAGGAUGAAAGCGGGGGACCGUAAGGCCUCGCGCGAUUGGAGCGGCUGAUAUCAGAUUAGGUUGUUGGUGAGGUAAAAGCUCACCAAGCCGACGAUCUGUAGCUGGUUUGAGAGAACGACCAGCCACACUGGGACUGAGACACGGCCCAGACUCCUACGGGAGGCAGCAGUGGGGAAUUUGGACAAUGGGCGAAAGCCUGAUCCAGCAAUGCCGCGUGCAGGAAGAAGGCCUCGGUGUAAACUGCUCUGUAC
Molecule: ribosomal RNA, 402 nt
Filed under: uncultured soil bacterium
Lineage: Bacteria
Description: bacterial SSU rRNA
Rfam family: Bacterial small subunit ribosomal RNA
Source: RNAcentral